RNAcentral lists this ribosomal RNA (493 nucleotides) under uncultured bacterium. RNAcentral's name for it is "partial 16S ribosomal RNA". It matches the Rfam family "Bacterial small subunit ribosomal RNA", at positions 29 to 508 of the family's 1533-position model. The record is from RNAcentral.
AGUGAACGCUGGCGGUAGGCCUAACACAUGCAAGUCGAACGGCAGCACAGUAAGAGCUUGCUCUUACGGGUGGCGAGUGGCGGACGGGUGAGGAAUACAUCGGAAUCUACUUUUUCGUGGGGGAUAACGUAGGGAAACUUACGCUAAUACCGCAUACGACCUACGGGUGAAAGCAGGGGAUCUUCGGACCUUGCGCGAUUGAAUGAGCCGAUGUCGGAUUAGCUAGUUGGCGGGGUAAAGGCCCACCAAGGCGACGAUCCGUAGCUGGUCUGAGAGGAUGAUCAGCCAAACUGGGACUGAGACACGGUCCAGACUCCUACGGGAGGCAGCAGUGGGGAAUAUUGGACAAUGGGCGCAAGCCUGAUCCAGCCAUACCGCGUGGGUGAAGAAGGCCUUCGGGUUGUAAAGCCCUUUUGUUGGGAAAGAAAAGCAGCAGGUUAAUACCCCGCUGUUCUGACGGUACCCAAAGAAUAAGCACCGGCUAACUUCGUGC